ACGGCUACCUUGUUACGACUUCACCCCAGUCAUGAAUCACACCGUGGUAAACGCCCUCCCGGAGGUUAAGCUAUCUACUUCUGGUGCAAGCCACUCCCAUGGUGUGGCGGGCGGUGUGUACAAGGCCCGGGAACGUAUUCACCGCAACAUUCUGAUUUGCGAUUACUAGCGAUUCCGACUUCACGGAGUCGAGUUGCAGACUCCGAUCCGGACUACGACGCGCUUUUUGGGAUUCGCUCACUAUCGCUAGCUUGCAGCCCUCUGUACGCGCCAUUGUAGCACGUGUGUAGCCCUGGCCGUAAGGGCCAUGAUGACUUGACGUCAUCCCCACCUUCCUCCGGUUUAUCACCGGCAGUCUCCCUUGAGUUCCCACCAUUACGUGCUGGCAACAAAGGACAGG
RNAcentral lists this ribosomal RNA (400 nucleotides) under uncultured bacterium. Its description in RNAcentral is "partial 16S ribosomal RNA". The record is from RNAcentral.